UGAUGCUAUUCACAGAGGUGGUGGCCAGGUCAUUCCCACGGCCAGGAGGGUCAUCUAUGCUUCUCAGCUCACAGCAAAGCCCAGGCUUCUUGAGCCCGUCUACCUGGUGGAGAUCCAGGCCCCUGAGAAUGCCCUUGGUGGUAUCUAUGGUGUUCUGAACCAGAAGAGAGGACAUGUGUUCGAGGAGAUGCAGAGGCCUGGUACCCCUCUGUACAACAUCAAGGCUUACCUCCCUGUCAUCGAGUCCUUUGGGUUCUCAAGCCAGCUUAGGGCUGCGACAUCUGGCCAGGCCUUCCCCCAGUGUGUGUUCGACCAUUGGGACAUGAUGACCUCUGAUCCUCUUGAAGCUGGCUCGCAGGCUUCAACCCUGGUGCAGGAUAUCCGCAAGAGGAAGGGUCUCAAGGAGCAGAUGACUCCCCUCUCCGAUUUCGAGGACAAGCUCUAAAUUUUUGGCCGCCGCAUGUGUUGUGCCGUUACCCUUACAUGUUCUAGUUGGUCU
RNAcentral lists this long non-coding RNA (499 nucleotides) under Oryza sativa (Asian cultivated rice). RNAcentral's name for it is "long non-coding RNA (OSAT_LNC000378)". The record is from RNAcentral. Lineage: Eukaryota; Viridiplantae; Streptophyta; Magnoliopsida; Poales; Poaceae.